UGCAAGUCGAGCGGUAGCACAGAGAGCUUGCUCUCGGGUGACGAGCGGCGGACGGGUGAGUAAUGUCUGGGAAACUGCCUGAUGGAGGGGGAUAACUACUGGAAACGGUAGCUAAUACCGCAUAACGUCGCAAGACCAAAGUGGGGGACCUUCGGGCCUCAUGCCAUCAGAUGUGCCCAGAUGGGAUUAGCUAGUAGGUGGGGUAAUGGCUCACCUAGGCGACGAUCCCUAGCUGGUCUGAGAGGAUGACCAGCCACACUGGAACUGAGACACGGUCCAGACUCCUACGGGAGGCAGCAGUGGGGAAUAUUGCACAAUGGGCGCAAGCCUGAUGCAGCCAUGCCGCGUGUAUGAAGAAGGCCUUCGGGUUGUAAAGUACUUUCAGCGAGGAGGAAGGCGUUAAGGUUAAUAACCUUGGCGAUUGACGUUACUCGCAGAAGAAGCACCGGCUAACUCCGUGCCAGCAGCCGCGGUAAUACGGAGGGUGCAAGCGUUAAUCGGAAUUACUGGGCGUAAAGCGCACGCAGGCGGUCUGUUAAGUCAGAUGUGAAAUCCCCGGGCUCAACCUGGGAACUGCAUUUGAAACUGGCAGGCUUGAGUCUUGUAGAGGGGGGUAGAAUUCCAGGUGUAGCGGUGAAAUGCGUAGAGAUCUGGAGGAAUACCGGUGGCGAAGGCGGCCCCCUGGACAAAGACUGACGCUCAGGUGCGAAAGCGUGGGGAGCAAACAGGAUUAGAUACCCCUGGUAGUCCACGCUGUAAACGAUGUCGACUUGGAGGUUGUUCCCUUGAGGAGUGGCUUCCGGAGCUAACGCGUUAAGUCGACCGCCUGGGGAGUACGGGCCGCAAGGUUAAAACUCAAAUGAAUUGACGGGGGCCGCACAAGCGGUGGAGCAUGUGGGUU
This 901-nucleotide ribosomal RNA is filed under the name Klebsiella ornithinolytica. RNAcentral describes it as "bacterial SSU rRNA". It matches the Rfam family "Bacterial small subunit ribosomal RNA", at positions 56 to 947 of the family's 1533-position model. Lineage: Bacteria; Pseudomonadati; Pseudomonadota; Gammaproteobacteria; Enterobacterales; Enterobacteriaceae. The record is from RNAcentral.